GAUUGCCUUAGUAACGGCGAGUGAAGCGGCAAAAGCUCAAAUUUGAAAUCUGGUACCUUCGGUGCCCGAGUUGUAAUUUGGAGAGGGCAACUUUGGGGCCGUUCCUUGUCUAUGUUCCUUGGAACAGGACGUCAUAGAGGGUGAGAAUCCCGUGUGGCGAGGAGUGCGGUUCUUUGUAAAGUGCCUUCGAAGAGUCGAGUUGUUUGGGAAUGCAGCUCUAAGUGGGUGGUAAAUUCCAUCUAAAGCUAAAUAUUGGCGAGAGACCGAUAGCGAACAAGUACAGUGAUGGAAAGAUGAAAAGAACUUUGAAAAGAGAGUGAAAAAGUACGUGAAAUUGUUGAAAGGGAAGGGCAUUUGAUCAGACAUGGUGUUUUGUGCCCUCUGCUCCUUGUGGGUAGGGGAAUCUCGCAUUUCACUGGGCCAGCAUCAGUUUUGGUGGCAGGAUAAAUCCAUAGGAAUGUAGCUUGCCUCGGUAAGUAUUAUAGCCUGUGGGAAUACUGCCAGCUGGGACUGAGGACUGCGACGUAAGUCAAGGAUGCUGGCAUAAUGGUUAUAUGCCGCCCGUCUUGAAACACGGAC
Molecule: ribosomal RNA, 579 nt
Filed under: Saccharomyces cerevisiae (brewer's yeast)
Lineage: Eukaryota; Fungi; Ascomycota; Saccharomycetes; Saccharomycetales; Saccharomycetaceae
Description: eukaryotic LSU rRNA
Rfam family: Eukaryotic large subunit ribosomal RNA
Source: RNAcentral